AACCCAUGGUGAGGGCACCUUCUUAAUAAGUCUUAUAUCUCUCCCAUGUAUCAUAAAGAGUUUUUAGAUCCAUCUACAUAAAAUAAGAGAUAUCAUUCCUCAAUUU
Molecule: non-coding RNA, 106 nt
Organism: Gossypium arboreum
Lineage: Eukaryota; Viridiplantae; Streptophyta; Magnoliopsida; Malvales; Malvaceae
Source: Rfam